Molecule: long non-coding RNA, 1327 nt
Organism: Nymphaea colorata (pocket water lily)
Lineage: Eukaryota; Viridiplantae; Streptophyta; Magnoliopsida; Nymphaeales; Nymphaeaceae
Exons: 3
Source: RefSeq, a predicted model, not a curated record
CCUCUCGAGAGAACCCUUUGCUAGGGUUCUGCCCGCCACACCUCCCUGUCUCCGUUUGACUGAUAAUCUCAGGUGCGCCUCCGGCCGACCAACUCAUUCAGGCGCUGCCUCCGGCCGACCAACUCAUUUAGGCGCUGCCUCCGGCCAACCCACACCCUCAGGCGCUCUCUGGCCGACCCACGCUCUCAGGCGUUCUUGGUCAACAGGAAAGGUCGAAGAAGAAAAGAAAAACGACCUGUCGUUCCCUUUUUUUCUUGUUGACAGCGUCUGUAGUUGACGGCGUCGAUCGGUUGGUGGAGAGGAAACCUCGCGUUGGUGCUCACGGGAAGAGGACGAUCUCUCCCUCCCCGCGUGGGCAACAGUUUGCCCCUUUGAUCUUGCUCUGUCGCGGCGACAGAGGGAACCAGAGAGUCGGUUUAAAGGAUAUUUGUCACAGGCUUUAAAAAAAACGCAGAGGACAACACGAAGGCACCACAAAGAUCAAGAUCGAAUUUCACUUAUUGGAAUUCGACAAGUAUGGCUCUGAUACCAAUCUGUGAAGUAAGUCCACCACCAGCAGCGUGUCAAAUGCAAGACCUGUGAGCAAGAGAGGAAGAAAGAAACAAGAGAGAAAUUGAUUUUGGGGGUUUGCUUCUGAGAGAAGCGUAGUUGAUUUCUCAACCUUAUAGUUAGAUGAAUAAAGGCUGAGCUUUAUAUACCGCCUCUCAGGAUUUCCCCAAAUCCCAGCUACGGUUAUGGCAUGAAGACUUAUGUUAUAGAGGGAAAGGGAUCGGGCUCAAGGCCACUACCCAACAGCCCCCAUCUUCUACCUUGAUGUUCCCUGCAAAUGCGAAGCAGAUCUGAGACCGACCGCUUCCAGCUAUCAGGAUGUUGGCAGCAUUUAGGACCAAGUCUGAGCCUCCCUGAAAGUGGAACGCCAUUGUAGGAACCUCAACUGUUGUGUAGCUGGACAGGUCAUAACAGGUAUCAAGAAGAGAGAACGGCUGGGCAUCCGGAUACUUGCGUUGCGCCAUGAAAGCACAGAAAGUCGACCCUGUAAGCCGUCGGCGGCAGCCGUGUAAUCACAGUUCCGGAGUCUAAGACAGUGUCUUAAGGCUUCCAAAGACGGAAGAAGAAACAGGCAGGGGACGUUCACCCACACUCAUUCUGAUGACGGGGACGGCAAUGGCGUGAACCGAGCGGGGCUGAAGAUUUUGUUAUAAUAUAUAUGCAUCUUGUCAUAAACGAAGGAUCUGAAAAUCUUAGAAGCCAGGAUUUCAACAUCUGAGAUCGCCCUAAAUUUUAGAUUCGAAGAAACAAAAUUUCCCCUUAAGAAUUACAUGGACUA